RNAcentral lists this unclassified non-coding RNA (272 nucleotides) under Hevea brasiliensis (rubber tree). The record is from RNAcentral. Lineage: Eukaryota; Viridiplantae; Streptophyta; Magnoliopsida; Malpighiales; Euphorbiaceae.
UCAAAAUAUUCGACCCAAAUCACCACCGACCCCCCCAUAAAAACCCCUUUGAGAUCUAUCUCAGAAGCUCAUCAUUCAACAAUGGUGAAGAAAGAGAUGGAUGUCAUGAAGGACGUCGACCUUAAGAAGUAUAUGGGUCGGUGGUAUGAAAUAGCCUCAUUUCCAUCGAGGUUUCAGCCCAAAAAUGGAGCUAAUACCAGAGCGACCUACACCCUGAGAGAUGAACGGACGGUGAAUGUCCUAAAUGAGACCUGGGUUGAUGGCAAGAGAGG